UACGGAGGGGGCUAGCGUUGUUCGGAAUUACUGGGCGUAAAGCGCGCGUAGGCGGACCUGCAAGUCGGGGGUGAAAGCCCGAGGCUUAACCUCGGAACUGCCCUCGAUACUGCGGGUCUCGAGUCCGGGAGAGGUGAGUGGAAUUCCCGGUGUAGCGGUGAAAUGCGCAGAUAUCGGGAAGAACACCUGUGGCGAAGGCGGCAUCCUGGACUGGUCCUGACACUCAGGAGCGAAAGCGUGGGGAGCGAUCCGG
RNAcentral lists this ribosomal RNA (253 nucleotides) under uncultured bacterium. RNAcentral's name for it is "partial 16S ribosomal RNA". It matches the Rfam family "Bacterial small subunit ribosomal RNA", at positions 524 to 776 of the family's 1533-position model. The record is from RNAcentral.